GUAUGGGCCCAAUCCUGAAACACUUAAUCUGCAUUAUUGUUAAUCAGUCUGCCGUGGUCAGAGGGAUUAUUCAUCUGAGGAAGGAUUACUCCUGUGAACAUUUUCAAGACUGGUCCCUGAAUUAAUGUGUGAAUCAGGGUUUCUUUCUCUCUCUCUCUCUCUCUCUCUCUUCCCCCCCCCCCCCCCCCCCCCCCCCCCCCCCCCCCCCCCCCCCCUGCUUUGGUUACAAUCAAGCAGGUUGGCCGAGGAGAGAAAUGAAAAACUAUUCGCAUCUGAAGGAGCUUAGUACUGGAUCGUAGUCAAUGUAGGCAACAAAAGGUAUCAUUGCAAUGAAAGGUAUCUUUGUUUUUGCAGGCCUUUUGUUAUUAAAGUAGCACUGGUGAGAGUUUCAGGUGGUAGAGUGAAGGCUGCAUACAAACCAGGGGUUAAUAGAGGACAGGAAAAUAGAUGAGAGUGCAUAUGCGCGUGUUCACAUGUGUGUUUGGACACAGGAUUUGUGCAGGCACAUACAUACACAUAAUUACAUUCCACCCCAUGAAUUCUGCUAUUUAAACAGAGCUCUCCAGAAUAUUCCUAUUACCCAUGCUGUGAGCACUGUAAACAGGUUGUCGGAGUCCUUUGAAAAGAAUAUCAAGUUUAUUAUCUCCCCCUCCCCUUUCCAUAAUAUGUAUGUCCCUGUACAUAAUGAGUAAUGAAAGCAGGCAAGCUUGCAUUGUGGGGACUAUAAUGCUUCAUGUUAAUAUGGUCCUUUUCAUCACCAAAUCAUUGCACAAUCAUUAACAAAUUAAUGCUCACAGCGCCCCUGUGAGGAAGGGAGAUUUCAGUUUAAUAGGAACCCAUAGCACCGGCAAUUAUAAAGGCUGCCUGAGAUUUCCUACAGUAAAAUCCUGUUCAGCUUUGAUAAUCUGCAUGUGUUCUGUCUGAAAUUAACCAUCUUGGGUGCCUGUGUUCUGCUCAAUUUUUUUUAAGUAUUUCUGGAAAAUUUCAGCUGGAACCAUUUGUCUGUCCCUGAGAGGAACCUAAAGGAGAAGUGGGCUGGCUUGAACUGAGUCAAAUGAGCUUUGCAAAGCUCUCCUGUCCCCAUACUUUACAGUGUGAUACUAACAGCUGACAGGAGGUGAAGAUCUUUCUCAAACCUUUUUGCUAUCUCGGGGAAAAUCUGCCCCAAAGUGGCCAAUUAAAAGCCUUGGGAAAAUGGCAGUGCUCACACGCUCACUGGAGAUGCAGAUUUCCAAACCAGGUUACCCAGUGACUUGAUUCUCACUGGGAAAGCUCUGGCAGAGACACAAGCUACCUCUGCCAUUACAGCACUGCCCUGGGAGAGACCAGAAAAAAUUGGAGCCUGAAUACCUGAGACUAAAGUAAGGAGUUUGUCUUCCCUGUGCUUUCAGAGACUGACAGAUCUCACAGCAAGACUACAGCAGAAGGUGAAAUGAGACAGCCAGGAGAAACUUAGGAAAGCAGAGAUGAGAAAGGAGGCUGGAGAUGGGAUGGGAAGGGGCACGGAUAGGAAAAAAAAAACACUGGGUUUCAAGACUGGGGACAAUGUGUAUACCAGCAAGCAAAGCGGGUGCAUAGCACAGGGCUAAGAAAUACACUGUCUUCAUCUGAGCAUAAUCCUUGGCAUGGCCUUUGUCCCAUAUCAGCCUCCUGCACCCCUUCUAAGGGAAGUUUGGAAGUCAGCACAGACCAAUGGGGUGUUCCCAAUAGGUGGUAUGCCCAAGACUAGUGUUUUUAUUGGGCUAACUCAUACAGAUAUGUGGUGCCAUGUCAUUUGAUCCCACGGUUUAAGAAUUCCCUGGUUAUUUAUUUGUGUUGAUCCAGUUAGCUGUGGAAAGCUUGCGAAGGAGGAAAGGUUGUGCUGAGCUGUAGCAGUCUGCUUCUCAGUAGGAAAAAUCUGGGAAGAAAAGGUGAGAAAUGAAGGGAGAUAAACCUAAUGGGGAACCGUCUGUCGUAGUAUAGCAAGGACAAAGAAGGGAUUAGCAUAUGGAAUACAAUGUAAAAAAAUACCAGAAAAUAAACUGUGUAAAUUAUAGUGAACUGGUAGGCUUGGGGGGACAGCAAUCUCAGGGACAGAGGAGUGAAAAGCUAAAGCAGAAAAAAGAAACAGACUGAGAGGGAAACUCGAUACAUUACCGGGUCUGGGAGGAGGAAUGCAGAAUAAAACAGGGAUGGAUCUGUGAUAGGGAUAAGUGAGAAGAACAGAAUAUCUCUGCCUCGCAAAACCCACUUUUCUGUGUGCCUGAAACGGGAGGCAGAAUGCCCUGGUCCUCUGCAGUCAACAAACGGUACUGCACCUGCAAUCUACUCUCAGCGUCCGUGCAAUUAAAGACUGAAUUAGAAAGCAUUUCUACAGCAAAGGCUAAUCCAGAUUGUGCACGAAAUCUCCAUUCUGGAAACUCUUAACAUUUUAAGUAUUUAAGCACUGUUUGUGUGUGUGUAUGUGUUCACAAUUAUAUUUAUUAUUCAGAUGAUGAACAUGAGGCAGAGAACUGCAAGAAGAGGUUGCACUCUUUUUUUCUUUUUUCCUUUUUUUUUCCCCCAGUCUCUCCAGUUUGGGAUUUGGGGAUUUUAAGUUAAUUUAGGUUAAAGGCUGAUUUCAAACCAGCUUUUUGGCAGUGCUGUCCUCCCACGGCUCUAGUCACAGUCAGUGCAUAUUCUUGAAAUUCAGUCCUGUCUCUGAAAAGAACUUUAAGCAGCUAAUUCAUACUUGGGCACCCAGCUGUUUGCUGAACUUUAUAGAGAAUCAAGCGUGCAGAGUGUGUGUGUGACAUUAGCGUCCAAAGUCAGUGGUCACUUUUAAAGUGGAGGUUUACAGCCUCCAGGGAAGCAAUGAGAAAGUCAGUGCUUAGAUUCAAAAUGUCCUAAUAUCCUGUGGCAUGUUUUACUUCUGAAGCUAUGCUGGGUCUCAUGUUGAACGACGGUAUGUUGUAGGCACAGUCUCAAUAUUGGAUUUGUUUGCAUGAAUGAAUACUUGUUUUACAAAACCCAUUCUUGCUUCUAUUUUAUUCUCAAAGUAGCCGGAGGGAAUGUCAGUCAGGGUCCAGCAUCAAAGCUGCUGACUUCAUGUAGCCUCAUUCUCAUGCAGAUGCAUGGUGGAUGAUCAAGUGUUGAAAGCAUGUGAGGAGCAUGUGCAUGUGUGCCUCUGUGCAUGCACACGUGCAUAUGUGUGUAUGGAAAUGUUGUAGAAAGAGGGGGGGAAUCUACAGCCAAGUGUGCAAAAAUGCUUCUCAUCAACUUUCUGUUAGAAUUUCAUAGUAUACUUAAAGAAAAAUAUUUUUUCUUAUUUUGUAUCACCUUUGUCUUUUUCUAUUUCUAUCUCUCUGUACAUAACCUUACCAAUCUUUCAGUUCUCUGUUGUCUGGGCUAUAAUAUCUCUUCUUGCAUUAUUUGUUACUAUUGUUGCAAAUAUGCUCUGUUUCCUUAAUAGUCAAUUUUCUAAAUCCAUUCUAGAAUUUAUGAAUGCAAUAAACUUUAGAUCUUCUCUUAUACCUUCUUUUAAUUUCUAUUCUUUUCAUUCUGUUUCUGUUCUGGAUAAUGAAUCACCUCCAGUACUGGCCAUCUUCUAAAUGCUGGACAUGCAGACAGAGGCUGUAAAGGAAAUAAGCAAGGAUAUACAAACUGCCCAGGGCUUCGUCAGCAAAGGGAGAGACUACACAUGAUUCUACUUAAAUGCGUAGUCAACCCAACAUUAAUAAGCUUGUGGAAUAAGUACAGAAGGUGAUCUGGCUGCUGUGUGUGCAUAUAAAUGUGGAUUCUCUAGGAAAGCACAGCGUCUUGGUCACUUCAAAAUUACUUUUCCACGUGGGAGCUGUUUUCAUCUUAGACAUCCUUCCAGCCACUCAGGGAAACUGCACAUUGCCUCCCCGUGAUCUUCUUAAAGUAAUAGCUGUAGUACGAGUGACAGCAUAAUACAAAGACUCAGGCUCUGUUUGCUCCGUUGACUGCAGUAGGAGGGUGAAGAGGUCUUUUCCUGUAUUUUCAGCUGGUGGGUUGUGCUGGGUCUCACACCUGUGCUGAAAUUAGAACAGACAAUUUUUCAUCCUUUAUGCUUUCUGCAUGUAUCCAUUUAAUUUAGGAGCCCUGGUAACCUCUGUAGUAGAUACUGAAAGAUAGGUGUUAUCAAUGUCUGUUCAUCCCUCCGGAUCUCUAGUUGAGAAGGAAGUGGUAGAUUUGAAUUCAGAAAGCAGAACUGCAAGGUCUCUAGGAGGCUGCAGAUGAGAAAAAAUGUUUAGAAAUGAUCUAUAGAUGGACUGGAAAAGGGGGAGAGAGGGAAAUUGAGAGGGAAUGCAGAGAUGAAGGGAAAACUGACUUACAGGAAGGACAGAAGACUGCAAAAGAGCUACAGGUCUGUGAAAGAUCUAUGGAGACUUGGUGAGGAAAUGGGUUAGAAUAAGAAAUCCAGAGGCUAUCAGAUAAGAGCUGUCUGUGUUAAGAGACUGAGGCCCUUCUGAGGGUCUCUGUCUUCAAAAUCCGUUAGGAGACUGAUAGAAAGUUCCAGCUCCAUCUACAGUGGCUCUUCAUCGAGGCUGGAAACUUUCUGCCACUAUAUCAACUAUCACAUGAACUGUUGUGACAGAAUAUAAUGCAGUGAAUCUAAAGAUUUCAUGACCAUUGAGAAUAUAUCUAUAUCAAAAAGGUACAUAAGAUGAACAGCAGAAUUUGUAUGUGGAUUUGCACACAUAUAUUAACAUUUUAAUAGUUAAGUAAUUAAUGGAAACACUGGCAAUUCAAGCUUAGAAUGUACAAGCAUUUUUUUCACGUACAGUUAGAAGUCAGUAUUUUACAUGAAUGCAUGGGUAACGAAGAAUGGAUUUUAGUAUUUCACAUACUGGACUGUCUAGAUCUCUCAUUGAUGACUAAAUAUGAAAUCAUCUUUAACCAAUACAAGAAGUUAAAUGAAAAGUUUAUAUAAAAAUGGGGAUUGACUGGAGAGUUAGAAUCAAAAUGAGAGAGGGCUUGCCCAAUAGUUCGUCUCCCAUGUGGUCCACAGCCUGGGAGGCACAGAGGAGAAACCAGGGGAGCCCUGCUAAGUCCCAGAAGGCAGAAUUGAACUUUGCUUCCCAGGGACAACUGAUUUUGAACAGAAAAGGCCUUCUCUUCUUCUCGUCCUGUGGCAAGGCAAAGCUUAUCUUUCUUCAUCUGGAGGAAAUGUCCAGCUGACUAAUUAGAGGGGUGCAUGGCAUCUGUUUUCUUGCACUGUGGCUUGAAUAGAACCAAGACCCCCCAGAAUUGGGCAGGAAGGUGAGACUACUCCGUUCUUUCCUCAGGGCUGAAAAUGAACUGCAAAUGGAAACCAUGCAUGGUGACCCUCUAUCUGAAUCUUUGGAGAACAUUCCCGUUCCUGACGAGUCAAAAUUAGCUGGUGGAGAUGCUUUUGUCUAUUUAUUAAACAGAGCGUGCAACGUGACGACUUAAAAUUGAGAUGUUUCAAGUGAAUUCCCAUAGUAGAUGGGAAAGCUUCAUUCUUAAGCUUGCAGGUAGUCCAUGAGUGCACAGAGGAAAAGUCACUGUAAUAUGGACAUUUUAUAUGGCACACAGGAGUUUCCCUGGACAUAAUAAUUUCCUGGGAGAUAAUCUGCAUGACAAUGGAUUGGAGUCCCUGGGAAUAUUAGCAACAACAAAGCAGAGUUCUGUAAUACAACUCAGUACUUGUAGAUACAAUGAAUACAAAGGACUGAAUGCAAUGCUAUGGUUGGCCUUUAUCCAGUCUUCUUAUUUAAGAACAGUCUGAAAUUCAACAGAUGUUCAAUCAGCCAAGAUCCAAGAUGGAAGAAAAGAAAGAAAAGAGCAAUAUAGUCAGAAAUGCGGGGUGGAAUAUGAAGGCUUGGGCAUGAUGGUGGUAACGAUUUUUAAAGAGGAUGGAAGAAACAACUCUUUCUUGGAGCCAGUCUCUCUGAGACAGUCCAGGGGGAAGUUCAGCAUUCCUUGGCAACCAGAAAACAGAUUAAUAUAGAGUUAAUAACAUUCCCAAGGUCAGCAUUCUCCUGUUGAAACAGAUUCUAAUAUAGAAGGCUACAUGCAAGCUAUUUUUGUGCCUACAAUGACUGCUGUGUUUGCCUCCACUCCCGGCAUCACUCUCAUUGUACUGUAUGUAAAGCACUUUGGGACACAUUGGCUAUGAAAGGAAGUUCAAUUUGUGAAACCAAAUUCUAUUCUACCCACAGUCACUGCACACUGAGCUGGGUCAGCUCUGCAUUCAUUGCACUUUUUUUUUCCCCCUACAGAAUUUACAGCUUCUGCCUGCCUUUUGAGUUACUGAGGAAGCAUACACAUGAUUUUAUGUCAUGCAGAUAUUAUAUCUUUAUGUGUAAAAAUAUAUGCACACUUACACAUACACACAUGUGCACACAGACGCUGAAGAAGUGACUCAUAAGGAGAAGCAAGAAACAGGGAAAAAAUUAGCUCAUGCCUUUCUUUGCUCGAAAAUUUCUAUUGCAUUUCUGCUGAAUGAUGUUCCUGUAUUAUCUACAUAAUAAGUACCCUCUUUCUUCAGAUAAUUAAAGAGACGCUGUCCAUAUCCAAUGAAAAUUAUAUAUUUAUACAUGGCAACCUUCUAUUAAUAAACAUGUGAGAUUGUUACAACUGAACAAAACCUCACAACUCGUCUUUAUUUCCCUCCACUUAGGCUCUUUAUUAUUCUUCUCCUUAUGCAUUUAGCCCUGGUGAAAGUUGCCAGAGAAACAGUUCCCGUAAAAGGGCAAGGCAAUGCAGCCUGUUGUCUCACACCUGGAGUCUCAUGAUUUGGACUGACUUCUUGGUUCUGUUCUCUGAUGUGGCUGUGGGCCACUUUGUUUGUGUUUCCUGAGCUCUAAAAUUGGAAUAGCUUUAUUUUCCCCUUACCUCUCUCUCACAGAGUCUUUCAGUGAAACACAAUAGAAAACCAUUGUCUUUUUCAAGGCUGAGUGGGAUAUCACUGUCUCCAGAGUGUGAUCCUGUAUGCCCCAUUAUGUAUGAAAAACCUACCUCUGGAUCUGAUGGUGAAUUUUGGAUUCCAGUAUUGUGGUCUACGAUGUAACAUUAGCAUCAUACAAAGUUAUAUGGUACCAGUAGAUGCAAUUAAAACCAAAGAAACAACAACAAUGAAAGAAAGAAAGAAAGAAACAAACAAAAAACCAACCAACCAGCCAAUAAACCACAAGAACCUAAAAAACACAACAGCAACAACAAGAGAACAACCAGCCAAACAAAAAACAAAACAAAACAAAACAAAACAAAAAAAUCAGUUGCACGAAUUUAAAGAAAGUCUUGAAGAAACCUAAUCAUUGGCAAAACAUCCAUCGCUAUGUCUGUGUUUUAUGGGGUUUUUUUGUUUUGUUUUUUGUUUUUUUGUUUUUUUCCUUAGCAGUGGGGUUGGAUUGAUUAAAAGAUUAAUUUAUCUUCUACUCUGACUCACUUUCUUCCUGUGUUUAAGUUAUCAUCAUUUCAAAAGCUUGUACUAUAUUCUAUUGUACCUCUGGAAAGAAUUAAACAAAACUCACGUCUCUUAAAAUAAAUCUCUAUAGAAAAUUAACUUUUUCUUUUUCAACCUAGUACACAAACACAUACAAAGAACAUUUAGCAG
This is a long non-coding RNA of Gallus gallus (chicken), 7564 nucleotides long. The record is from Ensembl. NCBI's taxonomy places the organism in Eukaryota, Metazoa, Chordata, Aves, Galliformes, Phasianidae.